This 429-nucleotide ribosomal RNA is filed under the name Actinomycetes bacterium. Its description in RNAcentral is "Actinobacteria bacterium partial 16S ribosomal RNA". It matches the Rfam family "Bacterial small subunit ribosomal RNA", at positions 355 to 776 of the family's 1533-position model. Lineage: Bacteria; Bacillati; Actinomycetota; Actinomycetes. The record is from RNAcentral.
UAGGGAAUCUUCCGCAAUGGGCGAAAGCCUGACGGAGCAACGCCGCGUGAGUGAUGAAGGUCUUCGGAUCGUAAAACUCUGUUAUUAGGGAAGAACAAAUGUGUAAGUAACUAUGCACGUCUUGACGGUACCUAAUCAGAAAGCCACGGCUAACUACGUGCCAGCAGCCGCGGUAAUACGUAGGUGGCAAGCGUUACCCGGAAUUAUUGGGCGUAAAGCGCGGGUAGGCGGUUUUUUAAGUCUGAUGUGAAAGCCCACGGCUCAACCGUGGGGAGUCAUUGGAAACUGGAAAGCUUGAGUGCAGAAGAGGAAAGUGGAAUACCAUGUGUAGCUGUGAAAGUCGUCGAGAUAUUGGGGAACACCAGUGGAGAAGGCGACUAUCUGGUCUGUAACUGACGCUACUGUGCGAAAGGGUUGGGAUCAAACAGG